AGGGGGGGGGGGGGGGAAAAACCACAUUGAAAGAUUUACCAAGUACCUGUGCUUUGAGUUUGUGGAUAUGGGGUCAUCGAGUGAAGUCCUUGGAGCACAAUGCAGAAGAGUGCUCUGUCUCCAGGUGAAGGAAGCAAGCUUGUCCGCUGGGGAGGAAAAAGACCAAAUUAAUUAAACAAUAAGGUUUUCAGGCCCUUCAGUGUGUGCUGUAGUAGUGAAAUGGAUUUGUGUUGUGCUAUUUGAUCCAUUAGUAUGAAUGAAUAGAUUAAGAAACCUUCCCCUGAGAAAAAGGCCAGACAGUGACUGAUGGGGGCAGAGCCCGCAGGUAAAACCUGGUACUACCUCCUAAACCUUUGUAAUUGCUAACUUGGUUAUGACAGAAUGGUUAAAGCAGACAGUAAAGUGCUAGAAUU
Strigops habroptila (Kakapo) is the source of this 413-nucleotide long non-coding RNA. RefSeq lists it as uncharacterized. The record is from RefSeq and is a predicted model, not a curated record. Lineage: Eukaryota; Metazoa; Chordata; Aves; Psittaciformes; Psittacidae. The transcript has 2 exons.